GCUCCGGUGGCCCAGUGGUUAGAGCGUCCACCUCGUAUGCGGGAGGUUUCGAUCCCCGGCCGAGUCA
Molecule: non-coding RNA, 67 nt
Organism: Potamilus streckersoni
Lineage: Eukaryota; Metazoa; Mollusca; Bivalvia; Unionida; Unionidae
Source: the annotation of a GenBank genome assembly